Molecule: long non-coding RNA, 95 nt
Organism: Etheostoma spectabile (orangethroat darter)
Lineage: Eukaryota; Metazoa; Chordata; Actinopteri; Perciformes; Percidae
Exons: 4
Source: RefSeq, a predicted model, not a curated record
GUAGUCCACUGACUGGUUUAACACUAAGUGGUACUACAACAAACCGAGACUUUCUUCACUUUCAAAAUGAUAUCCUAAAUUGACAAACAUCUAUG